GCUCACUUUGGCUGUGCAUGCGGUAAAAUCAGGCUGGUACUGAGAUCAGCAUGGCCCAUGUACAACAAUGACAUGCAAAUUCAGGACGCAUUCUGUGGUUUU
Vulpes vulpes (red fox) is the source of this 102-nucleotide small nuclear RNA. NCBI's taxonomy places the organism in Eukaryota, Metazoa, Chordata, Mammalia, Carnivora, Canidae. The record is from Ensembl.